CCUACGGGAGGCAGCAGUGGGGAAUAUUGGACAAUGGGGGGAACCCUGAUCCAGCCAUGCCGCGUGUGUGAAGAAGGCCCUCGGGUUGUAAAGCACUUUCAGUGAGGAAGAACGCCUGGUGGUUAAUACCCAUCAGGAAAGACAUCACUCACAGAAGAAGCACCGGCUAACUCCGUGCCAGCAGCCGCGGUAAUACGGAGGGUGCGAGCGUUAAUCGGAAUUACUGGGCGUAAAGCGCGCGUAGGUGGCUUGAUAAGCCGGUUGUGAAAGCCCCGGGCUCAACCUGGGAACGACAUCCGGAACUGUCAAGCUAGAGUGCAGGAGAGGAAGGUAGAAUUCCCGGUGUAGCGGUGAAAUGCGUAGAGAUCGGGAGGAAUACCAGUGGCGAAGGCGGCCUUCUGGACUGACACUGACACUGAGGUGCGAAAGCGUGGGUAGCAAACAGGAUUAGAUACCCUAGUAGUC
RNAcentral lists this ribosomal RNA (465 nucleotides) under Vreelandella stevensii. RNAcentral's name for it is "partial 16S ribosomal RNA". It matches the Rfam family "Bacterial small subunit ribosomal RNA", at positions 338 to 795 of the family's 1533-position model. Lineage: Bacteria; Pseudomonadati; Pseudomonadota; Gammaproteobacteria; Oceanospirillales; Halomonadaceae. The record is from RNAcentral.